Molecule: long non-coding RNA, 285 nt
Filed under: Bos taurus (domestic cattle)
Lineage: Eukaryota; Metazoa; Chordata; Mammalia; Artiodactyla; Bovidae
Description: long non-coding RNA NONBTAT014179
Source: RNAcentral
UUAUUCUAUUUCUCUUUUAUUUGCUAUAACUUUCAGGGCUUAGAAGUAAUCUGGGUUAUAUUACUCUUUUAUAUCCUUACUAAACGUAAAACAAAGCAAAAGUGGAAUCAUUGGAUGUUCUUAUAGAGUCCAUGAAAUACAUAUUCGGCCUACUCUAGCAGACAUGGGCCAAUCUUUAAAAACCCACUACUCCAAAAAUAAUCAACUUUAUCUCCUUGGAGAAUGCCUUUAAACAGCAAUAUACGGACAAAAGUUUAACAACUGACUUUCAAAAUAAAAAUUUAU